GGUAUUGUACUUUAUAUAUAGAAGAAAUGAUUUGCAAUCAUAUAGAAAGAACUUAUCUUCAAUACCA
RNAcentral lists this transfer RNA (67 nucleotides) under Chtenopteryx sicula. RNAcentral's name for it is "tRNA-Ala". The record is from RNAcentral. Lineage: Eukaryota; Metazoa; Mollusca; Cephalopoda; Oegopsida; Chtenopterygidae.